CCAAUAGCGUAUAUUAAAGUUGUUGCAGUUAAAAAGCUCGUAGUUGAAUUUCGGGAUCAAUCUAUCGGUCGUGCAAUAGUACGUACUGAUUUUAUUGAUUCCUCCCUUCUGAUGAACUAUGAUGUCAUUAAUUUGGUGUCAUAGGGAAUCAGGACUGUUACUUUGAAAAAAUUAGAGUGUUUAAAGCAGGCUCACGCUUGAAUACAUUAGCAUGGAAUAACGAAAUAGGACGUUUGAUUCUAUUUUGUUGGUUUCUAGGAUCGACGUAAUGAUUAAUAGGGAUAGUUGGGGGCAUUAGUAUUCAAUUGUCAGAGGUGAAAUUCUUGGAUUUAUUGAAGACUAACUACUGCGAAAGCAUUUGCCAAGGAUGUUUUCAUUAAUCAAGAACGAAAGUUAGGGGAUCGAAGACGAUCAGAUACCGUCGUAGUCUUAACCAUAAACUAUGCCGACUAGGGAUCGGAUGAUGUUAAUUUUUUAGUGACUCAUUCGGCGCCUUACG
Molecule: ribosomal RNA, 499 nt
Filed under: uncultured Glomeromycotina
Lineage: Eukaryota; Fungi; Glomeromycota
Description: partial small subunit ribosomal RNA
Rfam family: Eukaryotic small subunit ribosomal RNA
Source: RNAcentral